CAAUACCGUAUAUUAAAGUUGUUGCGGUUAGAGAGCUCGUAGUUGGAUUUCUGCCCAGGACGACCGGUCCGCCCUCUGGGUGAGUAUCUGGCUCGGCCUGGGUAUCUUCCUGGAGAACGUAUCUCCACUUGACCGUGGGGUGCGGUAUCCAGGACUUUUACUUGGAGGAAAUUCGAGUGUUUCAAGCAGGCACACACCUUGAAUACAUUAGCAUGGAAUAAUAAGAUAGGACCUCGGUUCUAUUUUGUUGGUUUCUAGAGCAGAGGUAAUGAACAAUAGGGAUAGUUGGGGGCAUUCGUAGUUCACUGUCAGAGGUGAAAUUCUUGGAUUUGUUAACAUGGACUACUGCGAAAGCAUUUGCCAAGCAUGUUUUCAUUGAUCAAGAACGAAAGUUAGAGGAUCGAAGACGAUCAGAUACCAU
RNAcentral lists this ribosomal RNA (421 nucleotides) under uncultured eukaryote. RNAcentral's name for it is "SSU rRNA". It matches the Rfam family "Eukaryotic small subunit ribosomal RNA", at positions 592 to 1018 of the family's 1831-position model. The record is from RNAcentral.